RNAcentral lists this ribosomal RNA (254 nucleotides) under uncultured bacterium. RNAcentral describes it as "partial 16S ribosomal RNA". It matches the Rfam family "Bacterial small subunit ribosomal RNA", at positions 524 to 776 of the family's 1533-position model. The record is from RNAcentral.
UACGUAGGGGGCUAGCGUUGUCCGGAAUCAUUGGGCGUAAAGCGCGCGUAGGCGGCCAGAUAAGUCCGGUGUGAAAGUCACAGGCUCAACCUGUGAAUGCCGCUGGAAACUGCCGUGACUCGAGUCCGGUAGGGGAGUGCGGAAUUCCCGGUGUAGCGGUGAAAUGCGCAGAUAUCGGGAGGAACACCAGUGGCGAAGGCGGCACUCUGGGCCGGAACUGACGCUGAGGAGCGAAAGCGUGGGGAGCGAACAGG